This 483-nucleotide ribosomal RNA is filed under the name uncultured bacterium. Its description in RNAcentral is "partial 16S ribosomal RNA". It matches the Rfam family "Bacterial small subunit ribosomal RNA", at positions 30 to 507 of the family's 1533-position model. The record is from RNAcentral.
UUGAACGCUGGCGGCAGGCCUAACACCUGCAAGUCGAGCGGAUGAAGGGAGCUUGCUCCUGGAUUCAGCGGCGGACGGGUGAGUAAUGCCUCGGAAUCUGCCUGGUAGUGGGGGAUAACGUCCGGAAACGGGCGCUAAUACCGCAUACGUCCUGAGGGAGAAAGUGGGGGAUCUUCGGACCUCACGCUAUCAGAUGAGCCUAGGUCGGAUUAGCUAGUUGGUGGGGUAAAGGCCUACCAAGGCGACGAUCCGUAACUGGUCUGAGAGGAUGAUCAGUCACACUGGAACUGAGACACGGUCCAGACUCCUACGGGAGGCAGCAGUGGUGAAUAUUGGACAAUGGGCGAAAGCCUGAUCCAGCCAUGCCGCGUGUGUGAAGAAGGUCUUCGGAUUGUAAAGCACUUUAAGUUGGGAGGAAGGGCAGUAAGUUAAUACCUUGCUGUUUUGACGUUACCAACAGAAUAAGCACCGGCUAACUUCGUG